CGGGUUGUAAAGCACUUUAGUUGGGGAAGAAAGUUCAUAGGUCGAAUAGGCUUAUGAUUUGACGUUACCCAAAGAAUAAGCACCGGCUAACUCUGUGC
Molecule: ribosomal RNA, 98 nt
Filed under: uncultured bacterium
Lineage: Bacteria
Description: partial 16S ribosomal RNA
Source: RNAcentral